ACUUUUAACAACGGAUCUCUUGGCUCUCGCAUCGAUGAAGAACGCAGCGAAAUGCGAUAAGUAAUGUGAAUUGCAGAAUUCAGUGAAUCAUCGAAUCUUUGAACGCACCUUGCGCUCCCUGGUAUUCCGGGGAGCAUGCCUGUUUGAGUGUCAUUAAAUUCUCAACUUCGAAUCGUUUGUUUACAGACUUUACGAGGCUUGGACUUUGGAGUGUGCCGGUCUCUAACGAGAUCGACUCCUCUUUAAAUGCAUUAGCUGGAACCUCUUGUGGACCAG
RNAcentral lists this ribosomal RNA (276 nucleotides) under Typhula ishikariensis. RNAcentral's name for it is "5.8S ribosomal RNA". The stretch from base 1 to 153 matches the Rfam family "5.8S ribosomal RNA". From Rfam's summary of the family: 5.8S ribosomal RNA (5.8S rRNA) is a component of the large subunit of the eukaryotic ribosome. Lineage: Eukaryota; Fungi; Basidiomycota; Agaricomycetes; Agaricales; Typhulaceae. The record is from RNAcentral.